RNAcentral lists this ribosomal RNA (514 nucleotides) under uncultured bacterium. RNAcentral's name for it is "bacterial SSU rRNA". It matches the Rfam family "Bacterial small subunit ribosomal RNA", at positions 32 to 518 of the family's 1533-position model. The record is from RNAcentral.
AACGCUGGCGGCGUGCCUAAUACAUGCAAGUCGAACGGUCUUUCUAUGGAAGCUUGCUUCCACUGAGAAGAUAGUGGCGAACGGGUGAGUAACACGUGGGUAACCUGCCCAUAAGAGGGGGGAUAACAUCCGGAAACGGGUGCUAAUACCGCAUAGUUUUCUUGAUCGCAUGAUCGGGAAAGGAAAGACGGCCUUUGUGCUGUCGCUUAUGGAUGGACCCGCGGCGUAUUAGUUAGUUGGUGAGGUAACGGCUCACCAAGACGAUGAUACGUAGCCGACCUGAGAGGGUGAUCGGCCACAUUGGGACUGAGACACGGCCCAAACUCCUACGGGAGGCAGCAGUAGGGAAUCUUCCGCAAUGGACGAAAGUCUGACGGAGCAACGCCGCGUGAGUGAAGAAAGGUUUUCGGAUCGUAAAACUCUGUUGUCAGAGAAGAACAAGUUGGAGAGUAACUGCUCCAGCCUUGACGGUAUCUGACCAGAAAGCCACGGCUAACUACGUGCCAGCCGCAGC